UGGGCGAAAGCCUGACCCAGCAACGCCGCGUGUGUGAUGAAGGCCUUCGGGUCGUAAAGCACUUUUCUGGGAGAUGAGAAAGGACAGUAUCCCCAGGAAUAAGUCUCGGCUAACUACGUGCCAGCAGCCGCGGUAAAACGUAGGAGGCGAGCGUUAUCCGGAUUCACUGGGCGUAAAGCGCGUGCAGGUGGCGCGGUAAGUUGGGCGUGAAAUCUCCCGGCUCAACUGGGAGAGGUCGUCCAAUACUACCGUGCUUGAGAGCAGAAGAGGAAGAUGGAAUUCCCGGUGUAGUGGUGAAAUGCGUAGAUAUCGGGAGGAACACCAGUGGCGAAGGCGAUCUUCUGGUCUGUUUCUGACACUCAGACGCGACAGCUAGGGUAGUAAACGGGAUUAGAGACCCCGGUAAUCCUAGCCGUAAACGAUGUGAACUUGGCGUUGGUGGGUUAAACUCCAUCAGUGCCGUAGCAAACGCGAUAAGUUCACCGCCUGGGGACUACGGCCGCAAGGUUA
RNAcentral lists this ribosomal RNA (510 nucleotides) under uncultured Chloroflexota bacterium. Its description in RNAcentral is "bacterial SSU rRNA". It matches the Rfam family "Bacterial small subunit ribosomal RNA", at positions 372 to 896 of the family's 1533-position model. Lineage: Bacteria; Bacillati; Chloroflexota. The record is from RNAcentral.